Molecule: ribosomal RNA, 783 nt
Filed under: uncultured bacterium
Lineage: Bacteria
Description: bacterial SSU rRNA
Rfam family: Bacterial small subunit ribosomal RNA
Source: RNAcentral
ACACAUGCAAGUCGAACGAGAGAGAGGGAGCUUGCUUCCUCAAUCGAGUGGCGAACGGGUGAGUAACGCGUGAGGAACCUGCCUCAAAGAGGGGGACAACAGUUGGAAACGACUGCUAAUACCGCAUAAGCCCACGACCCGGCAUCGGGUUGAGGGAAAAGGAGCAAUCCGCUUUGAGAUGGCCUCGCGUCCGAUUAGCUAGUUGGUGAGGUAACGGCCCACCAAGGCAACGAUCGGUAGCCGGACUGAGAGGUUGAACGGCCACAUUGGGACUGAGACACGGCCCAGACUCCUACGGGAGGCAGCAGUGGGGAAUAUUGCACAAUGGGGGAAACCCUGAUGCAGCGACGCCGCGUGGAUGAAGAAGGUCUUCAGAUUGUAAACUCCUGUUGUUGAGGAAGAUAAUGACGGUACUCAACAAGGAGGUGACGGCUAACUACGUGCCAGCAGCCGCGGUAAAACGUAGGUCACAAGCGUUGUCCGGAAUUACUGGGUGUAAAGGGAGCGCAGGCGGGAAGACAAGUUGGAAGUGAAAUCUAUGGGCUCAACCCAUAAACUGCUUUCAAAACUGUUUUUCUUGAGUAGUGCAGAGGUAGGCGGAAUUCCCGGUGUAGCGGUGGAAUGCGUAGAUAUCGGGAGGAACACCAGUGGCGAAGGCGGCCUACUGGGCACCAACUGACGCUGAGGCUCGAAAGUGUGGGUAGCAAACAGGAUUAGAUACCCUGGUAGUCCACACCGUAAACGAUGAUUACUAGGUGUUGGAGGAUUGACCCCUUCAGUCCC